AUUGAACGCCGGCGGCAGGCCUAACACAUGCAAGUCGAGCGGAUGAAGGGAGCUUGCUCCUGGAUUCAGCGGCGGACGGGUGAGUAAUGCCUAGGAAUCUGCCUGGUAGUGGGGGAUAACGUCCGGAAACGGGCGCUAAUACCGCAUACGUUCUUAUGGAGAACGUGGGGGAUCUUCGGACCUCGCGCUAUCAGAUGAGCCUAGGUCGGAUUAGCUAGUUGGGGGGGUAAAGGCCUACCAAGGCGACGAUCCGUAACUGGUCUGAGAGGAUGAUCAGUCACACUGGAACUGAGACACGGUCCAGACUCCUACGGGAGGCAGCAGUGGGGAAUAUUGGACAAUGGGCGAAAGCCUGAUCCAGCCAUGCCGCGUGUGUGAAGAAGGUCUUCGGAUUGUAAAGCACUUUAAGUUGGGAGGAAGGGCAGUAAGUUAAUACCUUGCUGUUUUGACGGUACCAACAGAAUAAGCACCGGCUAACUUCGUG
Molecule: ribosomal RNA, 484 nt
Filed under: uncultured bacterium
Lineage: Bacteria
Description: partial 16S ribosomal RNA
Rfam family: Bacterial small subunit ribosomal RNA
Source: RNAcentral